This 478-nucleotide ribosomal RNA is filed under the name uncultured bacterium. Its description in RNAcentral is "bacterial SSU rRNA". It matches the Rfam family "Bacterial small subunit ribosomal RNA", at positions 30 to 527 of the family's 1533-position model. The record is from RNAcentral.
AUUGAACGCUGGCGGCAUGCCUUACACAUGCAAGUCGAACGGCAGCACGGGAGCAAUCCUGGUGGCGAGUGGCGAACGGGUGAGUAAUAUAUCGGAACGUGCCCAGUCGUGGGGAUAACGUAGCGAAAGCUACGCUAAUACCGCAUACGAUCUAUGGAUGAAAGCGGGGGAUCGCAAGACCUCGCGCGAUUGGAGCGGCCGAUAUCAGAUUAGGUAGUUGGUGAGGUAAAGGCUCACCAAGCCGACGAUCUGUAGCUGGUCUGAGAGGACGACCAGCCACACUGGGACUGAGACACGGCCCAGACUCCUACGGGAGGCAGCAGUGGGGAAUCUUAGACAAUGGGGGAAACCCUGAUCUAGCCAUGCCGCGUGAUCGAUGAAGGCCUUAGGGUUGUAAAGAUCUUUCAGUGGGGAAGAUAAUGACGGUACCCACAGAAGAAGCCCUGGCUAACUCCGUGCCAGCAGCCGCGGUAAAGUG